GGGUGAGUAAUGCCUAGGAAUCUGCCUGGUAGUGGGGGACAACGUUUCGAAAGGAACGCUAAUACCGCAUACGUCCUACGGGAGAAAGCAGGGGACCUUCGGGCCUUGCGCUAUCAGAUGAGCCUAGGUCGGAUUAGCUAGUUGGUGAUGUAAUGGCUCACCAAGGCGACGAUCCGUAACUGGUCUGAGAGGAUGAUCAGUCACACUGGAACUGAGACACGGUCCAG
Molecule: ribosomal RNA, 227 nt
Filed under: uncultured Pseudomonadales bacterium
Lineage: Bacteria; Pseudomonadati; Pseudomonadota; Gammaproteobacteria; Pseudomonadales
Description: partial 16S ribosomal RNA
Rfam family: Bacterial small subunit ribosomal RNA
Source: RNAcentral